This 1750-nucleotide long non-coding RNA is filed under the name Haliotis rubra (blacklip abalone). RNAcentral's name for it is "uncharacterized LOC124291026". The record is from RNAcentral. Lineage: Eukaryota; Metazoa; Mollusca; Gastropoda; Lepetellida; Haliotidae.
UCACUACUGGUGUAUAUUACCGUAAAUAGGCAAGAUAAGUACACCUGCCUUUCAACUAAACUCAUACUCUUAGUUUAAUGUUUUAACAUAUGACAGAUCUUGUUUCGAAAUGAUCAGUGGAUGUAAGUUUCUUACCAGCCAACACCGCACCUGCCUCCAAACAUAUCCUGUGUUCUGUCUGAGGUCAAGAUUUCCUUACAAGUCUCAUUGGAACUGGGGAUACUAGUGGCUGGAUGUGACGACCCAAUGAUAUAAGGCCCCGCUAUAUUGUGUGCAGAGUUUGCCGGAACAGGCUCUACUGACCGUACUUCCAACCCGGAAAUGCUUCUGAGAAUGACCCUUGACCACAAACAGUAUAGGAAUAUCAAAAACACGCCAAUAAUGUUUAUACUUUUCAUAUAUGGACCGACCAAAGCAAGGGUCCUCUAGUGUAAUAUGUUACAACACUGGUAUGUUGUCAACGAAACUUCAGACAGUACAUGUCGAGUGACGCAGUUUAUCAGGUUUACAUAUGCUAAUUUCCAACUUACUUCUUACCAUCUUCAAAUCAUAAGGAUCAACGCCAUCAUCAUUUUAUAAGGGACCUGAAAUACAACUUUAGGUCAGAGAACAGACUAUUUUUGGACAUCCAUUUCUUCACUUGCAUGAAAGCAGCCUUCAUUAUAUUUGUAAAACCUUCACGAACAAGGAUUUUGUUUGGAAUUCAAAUUAGAUUUGACAAGACCUAAUCUAAGGUCACGUUAUCGAAAUCCUUAGAGGAGCAAGCUUCUCCUCGUGACUAAACAUCGUCUAUCGCUUCAUUCUCACCUCUCUGCAGCUGCAACCAGACCUUCAAAAAAUACACAGCUACUGCUCAACCCAGAUGAAAGAGACCCCACUACCGGAGAUUAAACCUAGUACAUCAUAGAUUGAGCUGCAAAAAAACCAUUUGCUGAAAGCUAAAUAAAACAUUCAGAGUUGUUCCAAGGAUAUGAGUGAAAAAACAUAGCUCUGAGUGAGUGAUUUAUCCCGAGCUACUUCUUAUGCCUCUUUACUCUUGGGGUCCUUUGAACCCGGCUAACCAUAUACACAAUUCAGUUUCAUAUGGCUAUCUGUACCGUUCCAUCUAGAGGGGAGCUUAACGUCUUUGGUAUGGCACUAUCCUUGCAAGAUGGAAACGGUUUUUGUUUGUUAUUCAAUCAGUAAGAUGUUUCUUCAUCUCACGGGAGCCACAAGUCCCGGUUUUAUCAUGCUAUUGAUUUUUCUAUCGACGGUUCCAUGGAGUGAGGAAAUGGCGAUGUCUUCAACUGGACUCGGCGCUAAUGCUGGCAAUCAGGAACGACUCUCCCCAGGGAGUUCAGAUGGGCUUUCUUUUAAUAUGGUAUUCGGUUAAUUCCAAUGUAUUGAGUGAAGUCACGUUUGUACAGUAUUUUGUUGGUGCACAUACGCGUUAUUAAUGUUUUAGCGUUUCAUAACUUCUCCCUCGAUAUUUUCUGGAAAUAGCAUACGGCUUUUAUCAUGUAUAUCGGCUCCAAGGCAACACGGCGAGGGACUUCGAUUGGUUAAAAGUCAUUUUAUUGAGCUUAUAGAUAGAUAUCUUUUGAUUUCAAUACCCUCCAGAUGAAGACGCUAGUAUACCUAUUAUAGGUAAACGAUUGAUAUCUAAUCAGCCAUUUCCAAACUUAACAUAAUACCACAUGCAUUAUAUUCCUUUUACAAAUCACAAUAGUAAAGGAUAUAUUAAAGGGACAUUCAGAGGAGGUGGUAACGA